UCUUCGUACCCCCACCCCAUUUCUUCAUCUUUUUCAUAGCCUCCACCCCCACCACACCCAGUUUCUUCAUCUUCUUCAUCUAGGCUAAAUUUUUUUUUUUUCAAGAACACCAUUACUAAGCUCCAUUAAUCCCUCCCUUCAUUAAUUUUUUUUUUUACUUUAUUUAAUUUUUUCAGAUGACUACAUCCAAUUUGUGAUGAUAAAUAACUUAUGACAAUUUAUCACUUCCUCAUCGUGUGCUUAUUGGAGCAUUUGAGAAGGUUUGAAAUAAUGGUAUUAAUGGUGAAAAAAUUAAAGCAGGAAGCAUUUUCACAGCAGAUCGGAACAAAGGAACGAAUAUUAGUAUUAUUGCUGCUAAAUCGUUUGGUAGAUCUGAAAUUAUUGUGGAUGAGUUUAGAUUUUGUUCUACUUGCAAUUGUUGAUUUUUGAAUGUUGAUAGAGGAGCCAUGACUUAAUCUACAUGAACAAGUUAUUUAUCAAUUUCUUGUUAAAUUCGAAUCAAGUUAUUGAUGUUAAUGGUGAAAAAUGGUGUGAAAGAAUAUGUUUAUUGAAUUAUUUUUUUAAAAAAAUUAUAAUUUCUUACGUGGCAAUGAUAUGGCACUGAUGUGGCAAUUACGUGGGGCGCGUGCACUUCACUCUCCAUAUUGAGAGUGGUAUAAUUUUUUUAGGGUGAAAAAAAUUCACGUGAAAAUUGUUUAGGGAGUAAAUAAUUGUCCAAUUAGUUUAGUAUCUAAAGUAAGUUUUGACUACAAGUUUAGGAGUGUUUCGAUGUAUUAUUUCUCAUUUUAAUGAAGAAAGCUUCAAUGUAGUGACUCUUUUUCUUGGAAAGGAGGUACAUUAUGUUGAUAUUGAGCUUUUUAGAUCUUCCCAUAUUUUCCCCAACUUCUCUAUAUAUUUUAAUCAAGUGUAAAAGAAAAAAAUUGUAAAACUUACUCAACUAAUUAAUAAACCCUUUUGUUUGUUGUAAAAAAUAAAUACUUUUUGUAUUGUAAAAAGAUGACAAUCGAAGUUCAAAUAUCAAAAUAAUUAUAAUAAUGUCUAAUUUCUGAGUGAAUUGAUCAGUUCAUAGAUAUUUCUAAUAAAAAUAUACUUUACAUGCAUAAAAACUGCAUAAGUGAUAAGAUAAAUCACAUCUUUUGUCGGAGUAUAUAUGAAUUAAUUAAUUUAGAGAGUGGUACACCUCAUAAGAAAGAAUUAAAGAAAUUAAGCAAAAGGUAAUAUGACGAUAUUAAUCAAUAUUACUUUUUGAUUCUUUUCAAACUCUUUUUAAAAUUUAAAAAUUGUUGAAAACCCACAUUAAAAAGAAGAGUAAUUCUUAAAAGAAUAAUUAAUGCAUUCUUAAACUUUACAAAAUUCAUUCAUUUUGAACCAUAAAAAAGUGUAACAAUUCAUUAUAUUGAAUUAAGUGAAGUAUCAAACAUUAACUAACUAUGCACAACUUUUUUCAUUCAUCUUGACUUGUUGAUAUUUGACUUGACAAUCACUCAAUUAAUUAUAGUCAUAUAAAUGGUGAAAAAUUGAAUAGUAAUUACUAACAAAGAUAAAAUAGAUCAUAUAAGAUGAUAAAUUAUACUUUAAUUUUUCAUAAUGAAUAAGUAAAAUUAGACAAAUUAUUUUUAGUAUAUGUGGGUAAUCACAUAUAGAAGCUGCCCGAGCUAGCUUUCCAAUUGAAAUCACAUAUUGAUUCUAAAAUAUAGCUGCCUUAGCUAGGUUUCUGCCCAUAUUCGAAAUAAUGAAGCUGGCAGCUUCUUUUCUGGAUGAUAUUUUCGUCAAGCUUUCAAAAUGUACUGAUUGUUAAUGCAAUGUUCAAUUUACAACUUCAACGCUUUUUGAUUUACAAAUUACUAUCAUCAAUCUAUAUACCAUCAAACAACCACGAAGCUCUCUUUCUGUCUCUCUCUCACACACACACUCCGAGGCAUGGUAAGAUAAUAGUAUUAUCUUGAGUUUGGACUUGAACCAACAUCGCUCAACAAUUCUUUCUUCGGAAGUCGGACAUUUAUGCUUAAUUUUGUUAAUUUUAAUUUUUUUUAUUGAGUUAACAGAACGUAGUAAAGUUCAAAUGAUACAAGGUGUAAGCUUAUAAUCACAGAUAAUUUUUUUUUCUUAUUUUUUGAUUGCAGUAAUUUAUCUUAAUUGCAGGAGGGAGACCUGGGUGCUGGCGAGUAAAAGUAUCCCAUAUGCUAGGUCCUCUUCCCCCUUUAAGCGCUUCUCCUUCAAUCUGAAAGCUCAUUAAGCAAAAUAAAUAAAUAAAUAAAUAAAGUUAUGCCUUUAUGUGUUGGUAAUUUUCAAAAUAAAAACUAGCUUAAUAGUCUUUUGGAUAAGAUGGCUAAACAUUUCAAUAUAAUGUUAAGAUCAAGCAAAGGUUGUAUGUUCUAUUCUCACUAUUAUCAACAACAAAAAAAGAAAAGAUUCAGGUGCUUAAAUAAUGAAAAAUCCGUAAGCCCACACACGUGAAGGAUGGGAGAUCUGGAAGCACAUUGUUUGCGAAUUCACAUGAAUCCAAUAGAUUUUACAUAGACCUAUAUAAAUCUUAAGAGAUCCACUAAUUUUUUUUUAUAAAUAUUUAAGUGUGAACUUAAUUAAUAUUAUUGUAUUAACUAGAGGUCAUCGUAUAAACCAUAAACUUCAAAUAUUUGUUAAAAAUGGUGGGAUAUCCUAUUCAAAAAGAUAGUUGUGUGUUUUAAAUUUGAAUAUCUUCCGUAGGAUAAAUACCAAUAGCUUCUCUCUCCUCUUAAAGACUUCUACGGGUGUUUGCGUUAUCAUCAAGAAGAGAAAACGAAAGGAUACCUGGUAAGCAGCUGAUGAAGCGCCAAAAACAAAAUCAGGAGGAAAGCUGGUUCGAUUAAAUGGAGCAUGAAAGUGCUUUGCAGGGAUUGCAGCGCUCGUUAGAGCAAACAAAUUUGCAAGUGCUACAAGGUAAAGGAAGCAGAAGCUUAAGAGAGUUGUCAUAACCAUUGUUGGUUUGCUAGCUUCUGCCUAAGUUGUAGUUUAACUUCAUGCAAUGCCCUCACUAUUUAUAGAGAUGCAAUACAAAAAUAUUAAAAUAAUCUUUGCCUGUUGUUUAUUUAUGCCAGCUAUCAUGAAAAUCAACGUUCCUUCGAUGUCUGUUGUUUUAUUGUUGUAGCUUCGUUUCUUUUUUCAGAUUUUUUUUU
Molecule: long non-coding RNA, 3155 nt
Filed under: Capsicum annuum
Lineage: Eukaryota; Viridiplantae; Streptophyta; Magnoliopsida; Solanales; Solanaceae
Description: long non-coding RNA (CANN_LNC022298)
Source: RNAcentral